Non-coding RNA from Ictidomys tridecemlineatus (thirteen-lined ground squirrel), 8700 nucleotides. NCBI's taxonomy places the organism in Eukaryota, Metazoa, Chordata, Mammalia, Rodentia, Sciuridae. The record is from RefSeq and is a predicted model, not a curated record.
UCGCCCACAGCUGCCUCCUGCGCAGCCGGCAGAUAUAGGGAACAUGGACCCAACCAUCCUGCUGGCCAGAGGAGUGGCCCCGGGGUUGAGAAGACCAGCACAAAAUGAGAUUAUCCAAAGCCUGGAGCAAACAGAACUCUCAUGGAGCAGUGAGCUCAGGCAAUGCACCAAUGGCGUGAGGAGUGGCCGAGCCCUGAUCCAGUGUGGCCUUCUCUGGGGAUGUCCUGGCAGGACCCUUUCCACUAAUGAACGCUUGGCUUCUCCUCGCCUCUUCCCAAUUGAGCUGAGAUUCCUAGAGCUGCGUUGUGAGGGCAGCAACAUCCCCGGUGUGACCUGGAGGUGGAGAUUUCUGUUCUAAAUUCCUCCAGCUGACAGAGUAGAAUGAGCUGGUGGACUUGUUAGGAAGAGUAGCAAGGAAAGGGAAGGACACUCAGUCCAUCACAUGAAGUGCUAAGGCCUGUGGCAGGGACGGGGCCAGUUAGAACUCCAGGGUUUGCAUCCAUUGUCUGAGUCAAGUGGAGCCGACCGCAUGGGGAAGAGAGGUGCAAGAGAGGUGGGUCAGCUGGCACUUUCCUGCCAUCUCGCAAGUGACAGUGUCCUGGGAAGUCAAGCUGGGGCCACAGACCGGAACGGAAGGAAGUCAAUCAUGUAGUGGAACAUAAGUAAAUCUUCAAAAAGGAGAGAGGAAAACAGAAAAAAUAGGUGGGGAUCAGCACUCCAGCCCCAUGGAAGCUGGGUGGCAAUCACGGUGUGCUUGAAGAGGGUGAUUUCACAGUCUGCCUGGGGAUCAGGGGCAUUUUUACCGAAAAACACAGAAAAGUUCAUUUUUCCAUUGCUCAGUCCAGGCCAGUUUCAUGGUUAAAGCAAGGCUCUGGUCAAAUGUUAACCACUCAGUUAUCCUGGGGGAGGGGGGAAAUAGCCCACCCUCAGCUGUCCCUUCUCCCAGCAUUUGGGGAAAAUGAAAGAUUAGGUAAAAUGUGUUUAUUUCCUUUCAUUCUCUAGUGUGGGCAGGGGUUCACAUAAUAGUUGGAAACCAUUUUUAACAGAAAAUCUGAGUGAAUCCAGAAGGGAUUUAUUCACAGAGCUCCCUUGCUACAAAAUGAGUAUUAUUAACCAAAACUUGACUCUUUCCCUCUUCCUCCGUCUUUUCCCCUUGUUUAGCGGCCCCCAGCUGCCACCCACCACCGUCGUGGAAAAUGAUGGUGGUGAAUAAGGUUUAAAGUCUGAGCCCAGCAGGCUGCCUCCCCAGCCAACAGAAGCCACGGAGAGGAGCUCACGGCGAAGUGCUAUAUCGCCAUCCAAAAAAAGCCAUCCUAAUUUUCUUAGACGGCAGCUUUGAUCCCAUUUACGGAUGAUGGACUGGGAGAUAUGGUCAGAUGAGCUUUGGGGAGGACCCAUUCAUCCAGUGUUAUUCCCAUUUAUAAUGUGGUCUUCUGCUAAGUAUUUGUGUUCUAAAAUCUGCUCCCUCUGGGGAUUCUUUCUCUCAGUCCUCUUAGAAAACUGAUGAAAAUAGAUUUGCCAUCCACUUCCAAAGGGGGGGUCUUUGCUCCUGUCUGUGGGAGGCCUUUUCUGGGUGGUAGGAACGCACACCGGCAGAGGAACCCUUUAUUACCUCUCCUCUCACAGAACACAACCCUUCCCUCCGCGAGUCCUUCUCUCUCCCUGUGGCUGAACUUGACGGACACCCACGAUGCCUCUUUCCUCUGCUCAGGUCACCUGUAUGGAGCUGGCGAGGAUUCCUGAUGGCCGGCAGUGACCGUGGUGGAAGGUGGGGACGAAGCGACAGAUUCUCCUUAGCAGAGCUGUGGAGUGUGACAAUGGUGUUUGUGUCCAAACUAUCAAACGCCAUUAUCACACUAAAUAGCUACUGUUAGGCAAUCCUUCCGCUCCAUAAGUGUCUGGGCAUCUGUUCAGUCUGGGAAAGAAGGUUUGUCGUAUAGCAGGGCUCCCAAUUUCUGAAUAAAGUCUGGUGCUCUUGGGCUCAUGUGUGUGUCUGAACGCUGCCUCUCCCCCGCCCUUGUUAAAUAGAUGGUGAUUCUGAUGAUGGAGGAAGAAAAACCAGCUCAGAUUUGGUUUCUCCUCUGUCUUCUCACAGUACAGAUGGCUUCUGGCACCAGAUGUGUGGGGAUUUCUUCCCACUAGCAAGUAAGCAAUUAAUUCUGCAGGUGACACCAACUGGGUGUCCUCUAAUCCACUGCAGUUCUGACACUGACUACCUGGAGACAGCACCAGAAUCCACAGAGCGGGGGCUCAGUCCCCAAGACAGCCCCUUCCCUCCACUUCAGAUGCCAAUCGCAAGCCCUAGGUCAUUUUCCCUUGUGCUUCUGAGCUACGGGCUUAAAUUAGAGGUCCCAACAACAGUCUCCUUGGGUUCGACUAAUUUGCUUGAGUGGCUCACAGACUCAGGGAAAUGCUUACUUACAUUUGUUAAGUUGUCAUAAAGGGGACUAUAAAGGACAUAGAGGGAAAGAUGCACAACGCAAGGUAUGAAUGAGUGAGCCUCUGUGCCCUCUCCAAAGAGUGUCAUCCUCCAGGAACCUCCUCGUGCUCAGCUACCUGGAAACUCUCCAAACACUAUUUUGUAUUUGUUCAUUUUGGUACUAAGGAUUGAAUCCAGGGGCACUUAAACACCAAGCUUCAUCCCCUGACCCCUUUUGUUUUUUCAGAGACAGGGUCUCAGUAAGUUGCUUAGGGCCUCACUAAGUUGCUGAGGCUGGGUUUGAACUCCCAAUCCUCCUGCCUCAGCUUCUCAAGUUGCUGGGAUUACAGGUGUGCACCACUGGCCUGGCCUUUUGGAGUUUUUAUAGAGACUUUAUUGCAUAGGUAUGAGUGAAGCAUGGGCAAACGUGUCAAAAUGUGACUGGAUAAAAAGGGGAUGCUCUUUUGCCAAGACUGGGUGGGAAACCUAGCAAGGUUGUCUGUUCCAAUUCUUCUUGGCCUCUGUGUGCAGAACUCCUCCUGUGAGCAUGGAGCAGGACGCCCUGGAAUGAAGAGGUUUUAAUGACUUGCCAUGAGACAAGGUAGGUCAAAAUUAUGAGCCAGGAACUGAGGGCAAAACCCCAAAAUAUCAUAAUAUCACCAUAGUGAUGAAUUUUCUUAUUUUCCUGGGUUAAUGAAAAGAUUAGAGUCCCCCAGUGUACCCAGCACCAAGUUAGGUACCUGGUAAUCAUUCAACCCAUGCUUGUUGAGUUGAGUGAAUAGUUUGGGAAGUGUGAGGUGCACAAAACUGAAAUUGUGUUAAAUCUGGUUAUGCAAACCACAGGCACAGGGGUGUUAAAGUAAAUGACUCCUUUUCAUCAUUAAAAAACCCUUAUAAUAAAUUUGUACGUGGCUUAAAUAACCUUUCAGAAAUUCUAGAAUAUAUUUGAUUUCUACUGAUUUUAACCAAUUACCAGGCUGAUUGCAAAUUGUACGCAGGGUCCUUCUUUAAGUUUUGAUGAAUUACCAUCAGAAAAUUACAUAUAAACAGUAAUGUUAGUGGCCACGGAAAACCUGAACAUGUUAAAGCCCUGCAGCUUCUGAAAGAGUUGGCCCAACUGGGUGGUCUGGUUGGGAACACAUUCUCUUUCUGAGAAGCAUCCGGAGUAAGGAGCAGUUUCUCUAUGUGGCUAAGGCCUCCCUCCUGUGACUUGGCUACAUGAACUAGUCUGUUUAAUCAAAUUUUCAGGAUUGGAUCAACCAUCAGAAACAAAUUCAUUCACUCAAUCAACCAUUUAUUUAUCAAAUAAAUAUGUAUAGAGUGACUUCCACAUGCCCAGCACUUUCCUAGACCCGGGAGAAACUUUUGAAUUAAAUAUGCCUGACAUUAUUUCCAGAGAUGAUAGACAUUCACUGGCUCACAUUCUGUUUGGGAUCUUCUAAUGAUUCCAAUUGCAUUUACUAUGAAACCCAAUGAGCAAGUUGAUUCCAAGUUCCCUGCUAGAAAGCACCACAAAAAUGCAGCCCACACUGUCAAAAAGAGACCCAGACCCUCGCCCCCAUGAAAUAAUUAACACACUUUCCUUUGUAUGAGUGUGUUUUCUGGAGAGACUACGAAUUGACUGAGCAUUGUUAGAGGGCUUUACUAUUGCAGGAAAGUUACUCUCAUGCACACUGUUUGAUUUGAUCUAUACAACACUGGGAAAAGAAGGCAAGUUGUGGUUCCCUCCCACAGAGGGCAGAGACUCCGGAUGCUCCGGAACCAUCUGGUCAUGCAACCACAACUCAACAUGAGGCUCUUACGUCUAAAGUUAGGAGCUUUAUGUGUAGCCUUCCUUGACCUGGUUAUUCCACAAAACCUCAAGCUCCAUGGCUGAGUCUGUGUAGAAACCAGGUCAAUCACACCACUGUUGGAUCGAUAUCCUCCACCCCCCACCUGCUUGGUCAACAGACUCUGAGGGAAAACCCUAAAUAAGAGAGGGAUGUGUCAUGUGACAGUCUUUCCUUUCGAGGGUUCCUAAUUCAGGGAAAGCCCAACACUGUCAUGGAAAAACGUGAGGAAAGAGAAGGAACAUAUAUGCGGUGGUUUGAGGUCAGGAAGGAGCAGAGACAUCUCAGUGACUUGGCCAACUGAGACACCCCUGAAGGCUUCUGACUUUUCAGUCUCCAAAUUGUUCCCAGGUUUGAGGACAAUGUGAGCACUUGGCCCUAUUGACUCCUCUUCCCUCCACUCAUCCUGAGACUUUGCUCUGAUGGAUAUGAACUGGGAAGAAGAGAAGGACAAACUUUCUUUUCUACUAGCUUGGCUCCUUUGCUGUCUUAUUACAGUGGCUGCCUGGGUUAGUUCUGCAUUCACCUUUGGAGUCCUGUUCUUUCUGUAGAUCUCUAAGGAACAUACAUAGAAAGCCAAAGUUCCACAUCCACACUUUAAAGACACAUUUUACAAAAAUCCUGCUGCUCCAAAUCUGUGACGAUAGAGCAUCCUGUCCAGACCAGCUUUCAUCUUCUCCCCUGCCCCAGAGAUUUCCAGCCAGUCAUUUCCAAUAAAGUAUUCCUGGGGUCACUUAUUGACUCCAAAUUUGUCAGAUGAAAAAGUCCACGUACUUGGGCACGCCUUACAUUCACACCGGAAAGGGGGCGGCAGAGCAUAGGCAGCCUCAGUGACUUGUUUUCCUCUCCAGGAGACAGACCACUUGAGUCUGCCUUUGCUUUGUGGAUCACGCUGGUAAGGCCCUAAGAGUCCUUUCAUCUUAGCACAAUGUGUUCCUUGAACAUGACAAUUUCCACUUAGGGCCUGCCCUACUUUUCAUCCAGCGCCAGGGGAGGUUCUGCGAAAUUACGUGGCAGUUACCAUAUGUCAGUGGUUCAUCCACACAUACUUCUGAACUCUUUUUUUUUUUAAACCUAUAAAAUUCUCCACUUGCAUAAUUUUUUUUCACAGUAUUAUCUUUAUUUAAGUAUCAGAAAUAUUUUCAGUUUUAAAAAAUGAACCCAGUUUAAAAAAAUGGUUUCAGUAGUUUGCAGUAUUCGUAACUUGAUAGAAUGGAAAAAAAAUGGAGUUUUAUCUUUUUUUAUAUUGUUGUUCUUUUUAGUUAUACAGGACAUGGAGUAGAACGUCCCAUUCUUGUGGUUGUACAUGAUGUGGAGUUAUACUGGUCGUGUAUUCAUAUAUGAACACAGGAAAGUUAUAGUCUUUCCCAUUCCCAACCUCUUGCCUUCCCCCCACCACUCCCUCCUGUCCAAUCUGGUGAACUUCUACUCCCCUCAACCUGCCCAUUGUGAGUCAGCAUCUGCAUACCAGAGAGAACAUUCAGCCUUUGGUUUGGGGGAUUGGCUCAUUUUGCUUAGCAUGAUUCCAAUUCUCAGAGAAGAUAAUAGUAUUCUAGAACUGGAAACCAGUUUACUUUUUGUUCUAAUGAGGAAAUUGAAACUAGGAUAUUCUAGAAUUCACUGACUGGGUCCAUGUUUAUGAUCUCUGUCUCUGGCAUCAUAAUCCAUUCACUAAGUAGACCUGUUGGGUGGCUGCUCUGAGCCUGGUAUUGUGCAGGGCUUCAGGGUGCAAAAAGGAAUGGGACUGGGUCCUUUACCUGAGCUGCUCUCCAUCUGGGAGUUGAAUAAAUGCCUGAACACAUCUGUGCUUCACUGGUCCCAAGGUGCCAGCACAGAGACACAGAAGGCUGAGACACUUGGAUUAGGCCCUUCAUUUCCCUCCGGAUGAGGAAACCCUGAUCCUUGAAUGUCAUGAUCUCUUUUGUUACUAUUGUUUAUUUUGGUGGAUUCAAUGCCACCAGGUCACAGGGAAGGGCAUGCCUUUAUUUGGGGUGGCAAUGCUGUAACGUGGUCUUGCUGCUUUUAUUCUGCCCCUUGACAACCUAAUGAGGAGCCCAGGAUCUGCUGGAGGUUAGAGGGUGGCUCCGGAUGCUUUUCAGUUAUGUGUGUGAAGAACUUUAAUUUCCCACAGGAGCUGGCGAGGAUGUGAGCUGGCUGUUCAUAUUGGGGACGGGGCUGAUAAUGUAGGAACCAGGCCAGGUCCCCGGGCUGUUCCCUCCCAGUGCUGCCUCGUCCAUAGUCACAAAAUGCCUACUCCAAGAUCCCAAUGAACACUGCACUGCCCCUCAGCUGCUUCUCCCUCAGGACAGGCUCAAUGAAGCUGCUGGUCCAGAGCCACAAGAGUGCUCUCAGGGCCUGUGUGGGAGUGGAGGGAUGGGGUAUCCACCGUCCUCUCUUUAAUAUCCAAAUUUCUUUCCAAGCUUUCCAAAGGAAAAGGAAAGGGUCCAUAGUACACACACAAAAAAAAAAAAGCUCACAGAAAUAUAGCUUCCCCUGGAGAUUCUGAAGGACCUGGGCACAUGACAUCUUAAUUUAGAAAACAGUAUCACAUGUGAUCUGAAAAAAGAUUUAUGUGACACAAAUUUAUGCACUUAGAGUAUUUAACCACAGUGCACAGGAGGCAAGGACAAGGACACAAACUCUGGCGCUGACUGACGCACUCAUUCAUUCAACCAAGUUCAACCACAGGUUCCCACAAGGUGCCAGACCUUACAGAGUCACUGGUCACUGAGAAUUCAAAGAUGAGAUGAUCACCCAAUCUAGCAAAGGACUCAGACAGGCCAUGAGUAAUGGCUUCGUGGAGCUGUAGGGGCUCUAAAAUAGGCAGGGGCAUCUCCGGGCUUAAGGAAGGAAACCCUGUAGUAGGUGACCAAGGUGUGAAUGAGCAAAAGAGCCAAGUGCUCCAAUGCUUCUGGUACUUCUGGCAGCCACCGAGUGAAAGUCAACAUUGUGAUCUCGGCAAGCCUGGAAGAGAGGUUUCCACCUUGGCAAGAGGCCGGGUUACCUUCAAGUUCCCAAAGCAUUGCCCGCCAUUUCUCUCCAGAGCACAAUUGAACUGUGAACCUGAAAUUUAUUUGAAGGGGAUUUUCCCCUCUCAAAAUGCAGCCAAGCACCCACAAAAAGAGAUCAGCUUUAAUUAAAAGAAGCACAUUGCUCUACUUAGCAAAUGUGUGUGUGUUAUUGCACGUGGAGAAUUUCAAUUUCUAAAAAGACCUAGGUAAAAUGCCUUUAAAGUCUUAUUCAACUAGAACUUCUUUUGAACCAGGAAAACCAGGGCUAGAGCUCUGACAUGGGCCUAGCCUAGGCCGCACUUUGCUUGGGACACUGCCCCCUAGUGGUAGGCUAUGCCUCUGCCCGUCACAGCAGCCGUGGGUCUAAAGGAUUUCAGGUUUGCUCUUAAGUAUUCCACAGGGAUUGCAUUAGGCCUUCCCCUGACCACGAAAUCCGGCUUUAAUUUUUGUAAAGUACAUUUUCAAAGGCUUGGGGCAGAGAGGGAAGAGAGUGGAAGUGACUGUUCUAUUGAAUAUCUGUUGACCCAUUAAAUACAACAGACAAGAACUAAUUUUGUUCUACCUACAUGACUAGUUUCUUCCUUUUCAUUUUCCUGGCACAUUUAGCCCAGUAAAGAGCUAAUUAAAGUCCUUCCCAUUUCUUAGGGUUGCUUGUCUUCCCUGUAGCACAUCUUGCCCUGCUUCUCUGCUUGGCUUCACAUUGCAGCUGGGUACGAAGACGUCAGAGAUUGUCUCCCACAUACUUGGAGGCGCCAGCUACUGUAUUUCUAGUCUCUCUCACUGACAACUGUGUCUGAGAUUUUUCUUGUCUCUCCCAUGUCUCUGCAGGAGCCAACUAUAUAUCUCAGAGUAGGUCUCUUGCUCAGCAAUUAGAAUGCUGGAUUGGGAGAGACAGAAAAGGACAGCUAUGUGUCCUUUAGGACAUACCACAUCACCACCCCAAAGUGUAAGAUAUUUUAUUUGCAAGAAGCAAUUUUUUUUCCUUUGGUUAUCUCAAGUAACUCAUUCUUAGGGCAGUAUUUUUAAGGAUCUAUUAUGUGCAAGGCACUGUAUUUCUCCAGGUGGAAAGAAAGGCAGGGGAAGAAGUCUCAGGCAAAGGAAAUAGCACAUGGGAGUUUCUGAAUGGGAUGGACUUUGACCAGCCAAGGAACUGGAAGCACAUUGGUGUGGCAGGAACAUGACAGGCGAGGGAAAGAUGGAGAAUGGACAGAGACUGCUGCAAGUUCCUGGCGUCAGGACAGAGAAAGAAUGCACAAGGAGGACAGGCAUGGUGAACAUCAUCUCUAGUGGUCAUGCCUUCUCUGAUGGGAUCACUGAGACUGGGGACUGGGGACUGAGAGCCUGCAGGCCUAAUCUGGCCUGCUAUCUGCUUUUGUAUGAACUAAGCAUUGUCAUUACACUUUUUAAAAGUUGAAAAAUAAUAAAAGAAUACUUCAUGAUA